CACGCGGUCCAACCAACCUACCAAAACCUAGCUAGAUUUAGAGGAAAAAAAAAACUGUCCCCAACCGUGAGAUGGCUGAGUACGGCGAGCGCUACCAGGGCAACGGCGACCCGGCCACGCCCGAGGGUGGCUACGCGCAGACCGAGUACGCCGCCGCCGGUGGCUCGCCGCCCGCCGACCGCAAGCCCUCCGUGUUCUCCGACCACGCUGACGGUCGCUCCUCCCAGCCCCAGCAUGAGACUCAAUCACAUGGCAGUGGUUCCUCCAAAUCUCGAGAAAGGGACCGAGAACGUGAUAAGGGAAAGGACAGGGAGCGAGGCAGAGACCGUGUCCGCGAAAAGGAGAGGGACCGAGACAGGGACAAGGAUCGUGAAAGAGGUGACAGAGACAGGGAUCGUGAUCGCCACCACAUGGAUCGUCGCGAGCGCAGCGAGAUAAGGGAACACCGUGAUCGUUCUGAUGAUCGUGACCGUCACCGCGAUGAUCGUGACCGUCGCAGGAGUCAUGAUUCUGAGAGGAGAAGAGAUCGUGACAGAGAUGGCCAUCGUAGGCAUCGCUCCCGUUCCCCUUCUAUGAGUCGUGACCGUGACCGCAGAUCUAGAUCUCGUUCACGCUCUAGAUCGAAGAGCAAGCGCGUGAGUGGUUUUGACCAAGCACCUACACAACAGGCACUUCCUAUUGUUGCUGCUGGUGUUAUCCCUGGUCAGCUGCCUGGUGUCACCGCUCCUAUUCCUGGGGUUGGGGUGCUUCCAAACUUGUAUAAUUUGGCUGCAGGACAGCCACAAGCCAUGACACAACAGGCUACCAGGCAUGCUCGGCGUGUCUAUGUGGGCGGACUUCCUCCAACUGCUAAUGAGCAGACCGUUGCCAUAUUCUUCAAUGGAGUUAUGGCUGCUAUUGGAGGAAACACAGCUGGUCCAGGUGAUGCUGUUCUUAAUGUCUACAUAAACCACGACAAGAAAUUUGCUUUUGUGGAGAUGAGAUCUGUGGAGGAAGCAAGCAAUGCAAUGGUCUUAGAUGGCAUAAUGUUUGAGGGAGCACCGGUCAAGAUUAGAAGACCAACGGACUAUAAUCCUUCCCUAGCAGCUGCUCUGGGCCCGAGCCAGCCAAAUCCAAAUCUCAAUCUUUCUGCUGUUGGCUUAACACCUGGCUCUGCUGGAGGAUUAGAAGGUCCAGACCGGAUCUUUGUAGGUGGUCUACAAUAUUACUUCACUGAGGCCCAAGUGCGGGAGUUGCUUGAGUCCUUUGGACCUCUGCGUGGAUUUGAUCUUGUAAAGGAUAGAGAAACUGGUAACUCGAAGGGAUAUGCCUUCUGUGUGUACCAGGAUCUUAAUGUUACCGACAUUGCCUGUGCUGCUCUUAAUGGCAUCAAGAUGGGAGACAAGACUCUUACUGUUAGGCGGGCAAACCAAGGAGCUUCUCAGCCUAGGCCAGAGCAAGAAAGCAUCCUGUUGCAAGCACAGCAGCAGGUGCAAAUGCAGAAAUUCGUAUACCAAGUUGGAGGUGCCCUGCCAACAAAAGUUGUAUGCCUGACACAGGUAGUGACAGAAGAUGAACUGAGAGAUGAUGAGGAAUAUGAUGACAUUGUGGAGGACAUGAGGGAGGAAGGACACAAAUAUGUCCCGCAUAAUGCCAUUGCAGAUUGUUUUGUAGUCCGACCUUAUGCAAUAGUGGCAAUCGGGCCUUAACCCACAGAAGACACUAUUCUUUUGACUUUGAUUAAUCAUUUUAUUAUUAGCGCGUCUUGUCUAUAUAUAUCUACUCUGCUCACUAAGAUUUGGACAGGUAACUUGGUGAAAGUUGCAAUUCCACGGCCUGACCCCAGCGGUGCUCCUGUUGCUGGUGUUGGAAAGAUGUGGAGGGCUCAACCAAAGCAAAGACAGGGAUGCAUGGGCGGAAAUUCGGCGGGAACCAGGUGGUGGCGGUGUUCUACCCUGAGGACAAGUUUGCAGCUGAGCAGUACGACUGAAAAGUUUUAGAACCCCUAUUCUAGAGUUGCAGUUGUGGCACACAAUGUGGUUGUUUUGACCUUUUGUAGUUAAGUUUGGUGAUUGAUCCGCUGAUAAGUGAUAUAAGUUUCGUGCUCAAGUAUUAUAUCAGCUGGUAAGAGUGAUACAAGUCUCGUGCCCAAGUUUCGGUCUAUCAAUCGACUGCAUGUUGCCCUGUUGGCUUCUUGCACACUGAGUGAUGUGAUCUUGUAUGACAUAUACAACAUCUAGGAUCUAGUAGUUGCUGCAUUAGAAUGCUCAUUUUAAGCGGUUAUAUUGCCAA
This is an RNA transcript of Zea mays, 2271 nucleotides long. It is a transcript of the gene named Splicing factor U2af large subunit A, with no coding region annotated. Lineage: Eukaryota; Viridiplantae; Streptophyta; Magnoliopsida; Poales; Poaceae. The record is from RefSeq and is marked provisional. The transcript has 10 exons.